RNAcentral lists this ribosomal RNA (253 nucleotides) under uncultured bacterium. Its description in RNAcentral is "partial 16S ribosomal RNA". It matches the Rfam family "Bacterial small subunit ribosomal RNA", at positions 524 to 776 of the family's 1533-position model. The record is from RNAcentral.
UACGUAGGGGGCAAGCGUUGUCCGGAAUCAUUGGGCGUAAGGCGCGUGUAGGCGGCUCGGUAAGUCUGCUGUGAAAGUCCAGGGCUCAACCCUGGGAUGCCGGUGGAUACUGUCGAGCUCGAGUCCGGAAGAGGCGAGUGGAAUUCCUGGUGUAGCGGUGAAAUGCGCAGAUAUCAGGAGGAACACCAAUUGCGAAGGCAGCUCUCUGGACCAGCACUGACACUGAGGCACGAAAGCGUGGGGAGCAAACAGG